CCGCGGUAACACGUAAGCCCCAAGCGUUGUUCGGAAUUAUUGGGCGUAAAGGGCAUGUAGGCGGUUAUGUAAGCCUGAUGUGAAAUCUACGAGCUUAACUCGUAAACUGCAUUGGGUACUGCGUAACUUGAAUCACGGAGGGGAAACCGGAAUUCCAAGUGUAGGGGUGGAAUCUGUAGAUAUUUGGAAGAACACCGGUGGCGAAGGCGGGUUUCUGGCCGAUGAUUGACGCUGAGAUGCGAAGGUGCGGGGAGCAAACAGGAUUAGAUACCCUGGUAGUCCGCACAGUAAACAAUGUACACUAGGCGUUGGAGCAAGAGCUUCAGUGCCGACGCAAACGCAUUAAGUGUACCGCCUGGGAAGUAUGCCCGCAAGGGUGAAACUCAAAGGAAUUGACGGGGGCCCACACAAGCGGUGGAGCAUGUGGUUUAAUUCGAUGAUACGCGAGGAACCUUACCUGGGUUUGACAUCAAGAGUAAUGGUAUAGAGAUAUAUCAGCGUAGCAAUACGACUC
Molecule: ribosomal RNA, 514 nt
Filed under: uncultured Treponema sp.
Lineage: Bacteria; Pseudomonadati; Spirochaetota; Spirochaetia; Treponematales; Treponemataceae
Description: bacterial SSU rRNA
Rfam family: Bacterial small subunit ribosomal RNA
Source: RNAcentral